UAGAGAGCCCUUAAGACAGAACCCUUCGUUUACCCACAGAACAAGAUGGCAGUAGACAGCAUCAUCAUGCUGCACUGCUAACAGGCCACAGCUCUGUCCUGGAGGGACCACUGCUAAGUGUGAGGGAGGACUUCACUCUUUAUUGCCCAUUCAAUCCUUUGUCUCC
RNAcentral lists this small RNA (166 nucleotides) under Gopherus agassizii (Agassiz's desert tortoise). RNAcentral describes it as "TUC338 (ENSGAGG00000012799.1)". The record is from RNAcentral. Lineage: Eukaryota; Metazoa; Chordata; Testudines; Testudinidae.